RNAcentral lists this ribosomal RNA (551 nucleotides) under Myotis muricola. RNAcentral describes it as "partial 16S ribosomal RNA". It matches the Rfam family "Bacterial large subunit ribosomal RNA", at positions 1834 to 2597 of the family's 2925-position model. The record is from RNAcentral. Lineage: Eukaryota; Metazoa; Chordata; Mammalia; Chiroptera; Vespertilionidae.
GCAUAAAAAGUAUUAGAGGCACUGCCUGCCCAGUGACUUUGUUUCAACGGCCGCGGUAUCCUGACCGUGCAAAGGUAGCAUAAUCACUUGUUCUCUAAAUAAGGACUCGUAUGAAUGGCUUCACGAGGGUUUUACUGUCUCUUACUUCCAAUCAGUGAAAUUGACCUUCUCGUGAAGAGGCGUGAAUAGAAAAAUAAGACGAGAAGACCCUAUGGAGCUUUAAUUAACCAACUCACAAGUUGUAAUAAUAUUCUACCAGAAACAAACCCACUAUAAUUGAGUUGGCAAUUUAGGUUGGGGUGACCUCGGAAUAAAAACCAACUUCCGAGAAAAUUUCAAUUAAGACAAACAAGUCUAAAUUAUCUUACUAUAUACAUAUUGACCCGUUAAUUCUUAAACGAUCAACGAAACAAGUUACCCUAGGGAUAACAGCGCAAUCCUAUUUAAGAGUCCAUAUCGACAAUUAGGGUUUACGACCUCGAUGUUGGAUCAGGACAUCCCAAUGGUGCAGCAGCUAUUAAUGUGUUCGUUUGUUCAACGAUUAAAGUCCU